This 1284-nucleotide long non-coding RNA is filed under the name Piliocolobus tephrosceles (Ugandan red Colobus). Its description in RNAcentral is "lncRNA (ENSPTEG00000000826.1)". Lineage: Eukaryota; Metazoa; Chordata; Mammalia; Primates; Cercopithecidae. The record is from RNAcentral.
UGCAAAAUUAUUUUGUUUUUUCAUUGUUGCUUCGAUGCUUUCUUAUUAUAUUUUGUUACAAUUUAGUUAUUUUUUUUAUCAUUUUUUCAUUCCGUUUUUUCAUAAAUAGAUAAUUAUGUUAUAAGAAGCGUGUUAUGUUUUGUACACUUUAACUUAAAUGUACGUCCUGUUAAUCACGAAAAAGCAAAAAAAAAAAAAAAAAAAAAAAAACAUUGUUUCUAGUCACCUAUAUAAAAAUAUUGUUUAACGCUCUUCAUGCAUUGUUAUUUAUUUAUUAAUUUUCCACAUUGUACAAACUCUCAUAUAUUUUUUUAUUUAGAAAAAAAAAAAAAAAAGAUCGUAUUAAAGCAGCUAAAAAAAAAAAUAAAAUAAAAAAAAAUAAUUUUCAAUGUUUACACAAUUAUAUAUAUAUGUAUCAAUAAUAAGUACAUAAUUAUUCAUUUUUUUAUAUUAUUUUAUUAUUUUAUUUUUUUUUUAAGCAUUUAAAACAUUUUUCUUUGUUGAGCAAGUUAAAAAAUAAGCAUAUUUUGAACAGAAUUAAAAUUUCCUGUGAAGAAUUUAAACAAAAUUAAAAAAUCUUUUUCUAUUUUUAAAAGUAUAAAAGCAUCGAACUUCCUAAUUUCCAUUUCAGAAAAAUAAAUUAAUAUGGAUAUUCGCUCGAGAAUAAUAAACUACAUUAUAUUUUCUUUAAAAAGAUGCAAGAAUAAAAACAAAUAUAUACUUUUACUAAAUGAACUGCUUUCUUUUUUCCCAUUACAUGCUGAAAAAAGCUUAAGUUUAUGCUUAAAAUCAAAAAUAAAAAAAUACAUAUUAGUAAAAGAACAUCGUACAAUAAAGGAUAAUAUAUUAUAUGAUAAUAAAACCUUUAAAACGAAUAGGAAAAUACGUUGGAAAAAUUUGGAUUCAUGUUUUAGUGAUGACACCUUUACUGCUAUUGGGCAAAAAAAGAAAGACAUUUUAAGAGAAUAUUUACACAUUAACUUGAAAAAAAAUAGAAAUAAGAAAACAGGUAUACAUUUUUUUUUAGUCCCUGGAAAUAAUAAAAAGUACAUUGUAUUCGAACAUUUUUGUUCUUGUUUUUAUUUUAAAGAAAAUGUAUUAUGUAAUAAUUGUGAUGUUUUGUGUAAACAUAUCUUAUCCGUUCGUUUAGCAGAAUGUUUCAAUAAUUAUACGAAUAUUUAUUUAGACUCAGAUUUGUUUUUCGAAUGGCACCAUAAAAAAAUGAAUAUUUAAAAAAAAAAGGGGGGGGGAAAUAAAACAUAUAUAAUGUGUGUAUAUAAUACA